RNAcentral lists this ribosomal RNA (1063 nucleotides) under Salmonella enterica subsp. enterica serovar Enteritidis. RNAcentral's name for it is "partial 23S ribosomal RNA". It matches the Rfam family "Bacterial large subunit ribosomal RNA", at positions 1 to 957 of the family's 2925-position model. The record is from RNAcentral. Lineage: Bacteria; Pseudomonadati; Pseudomonadota; Gammaproteobacteria; Enterobacterales; Enterobacteriaceae.
GGGUUGUGAGGUUAAGCGACUAAGCGUACACGGUGGAUGCCCUGGCAGUCAGAGGCGAUGAAGGGCGUGCUAAUCUGCGAUAAGCGCCGGUAAGGUGAUAUGAACCGUUAUAACCGGCGAUACCCGAAUGGGGAAACCCAGUGUGACUCGUCACACUAUCAUUAACUGAAUCCAUAGGUUAAUGAGGCGAACCGGGGGAACUGAAACAUCUAAGUACCCCGAGGAAAAGAAAUCAACCGAGAUUCCCCCAGUAGCGGCGAGCGAACGGGGAGGAGCCCAGAGCCUGAAUCAGCAUGUGUGUUAGUGGAAGCGUCUGGAAAGGCGCGCGAUACAGGGUGACAGCCCCGUACACAAAAGCGCAUGUGCUGUGAGCUCGAUGAGUAGGGCGGGACACGUGGUAUCCUGUCUGAAUAUGGGGGGACCAUCCUCCAAGGCUAAAUACUCCUGACUGACCGAUAGUGAACCAGUACCGUGAGGGAAAGGCGAAAAGAACCCCGGCGAGGGGAGUGAAAAAGAACCUGAAACCGUGUACGUACAAGCAGUGGGAGCCCCACCACCAAAGCAUUUGCUGUACCGCGUUGACGGAGCGAAGCGACGUCAAACCGAUAAAACAGCAGUGUAAAGUGAGCCGCAGGGCGCUUUGCGCGACAGCGCAAAGGCAGGCGGUUUCGCGUAGCGAAAGCGAAUGCUUUGGGGUGGGGUGACUGCGUACCUUUUGUAUAAUGGGUCAGCGACUUAUAUUCUGUAGCAAGGUUAACCGAAUAGGGGAGCCGGAGGGAAACCGAGUCUUAAUUGGGCGUUAAGUUGCAGGGUAUAGACCCGAAACCCGGUGAUCUAGCCAUGGGCAGGUUGAAGGUUGGGUAACACUAACUGGAGGACCGAACCGACUAAUGUUGAAAAAUUAGCGGAUGACCUGUGGCUGGGGGUGAAAGGCCAAUCAAACCGGGAGAUAGCUGGUUCUCCCCGAAAGCUAUUUAGGUAGCGCCUCGUGAAUUCAUCUCCGGGGGUAGAGCACUGUUUCGGCUAGGGGGCCAUCCCGGCUUACCAACCCGAUGCAAACUGC